Molecule: ribosomal RNA, 300 nt
Filed under: Orthops basalis
Lineage: Eukaryota; Metazoa; Arthropoda; Insecta; Hemiptera; Miridae
Description: partial small subunit ribosomal RNA
Source: RNAcentral
UUUAAAUUUAAAGAAUUUGGCGGUAAUUUAGCUUUUCAGAGGAACCUGUCCUUUAAUUGAUAAUCCACAAUAAAUUUUACUUUUAUUAUGUUUAUAUAUCUCUAUCAUUGAAUGUCUUUUUAAGGGUAAUUUUCUAAAGGAUUUAUUUAAUCAAAAUGUUAGGUCAAGGUUUAACAAUAUAAAAGUAGGGGUGGGUUACAUUAUUAUUAUAUGAGGAAUAUAAUAUGGAAAUAUAUAUGAAUUUGGAUUUGAUAGUAAAUUAUUUUAUAAUAAAUAUUUGAUACUAGCUCUAGAUUAUGC